UACAGAGGGUGCAAGCGUUAAUCGGAAUUACUGGGCGUAAAGCGUGUGUAGGUGGUUGGAUAAGUUAGAUGUGAAAUCCCCGGGCUUAACCUGGGAACUGCGUUUAAGACUGUUCAACUAGAGUACUGUAGAGGAUAGUGGAAUUUCCAGUGUAGCGGUGAAAUGCGUAGAUAUUGGAAGGAACACCAGUGGCGAAGGCGACUAUCUGGAUAGAUACUGACACUGAGACACGAAAGCGUGGGGAGCAAACAGG
This 253-nucleotide ribosomal RNA is filed under the name uncultured bacterium. RNAcentral describes it as "partial 16S ribosomal RNA". It matches the Rfam family "Bacterial small subunit ribosomal RNA", at positions 524 to 776 of the family's 1533-position model. The record is from RNAcentral.